Molecule: transfer RNA, 72 nt
Filed under: Pleodorina starrii
Lineage: Eukaryota; Viridiplantae; Chlorophyta; Chlorophyceae; Chlamydomonadales; Volvocaceae
Description: tRNA-Pro
Rfam family: tRNA
About the family: Transfer RNA (tRNA) molecules are approximately 80 nucleotides in length. Their secondary structure includes four short double-helical elements and three loops (D, anti-codon, and T loops). Further hydrogen bonds mediate the characteristic L-shaped molecular structure. tRNAs have two regions of fundamental functional importance: the anti-codon, which is responsible for specific mRNA codon recognition, and the 3' end, to which the tRNAs corresponding amino acid is attached (by aminoacyl-tRNA synthetases). tRNAs cope with the degeneracy of the genetic code in two manners: having more than one tRNA (with a specific anti-codon) for a particular amino acid; and 'wobble' base-pairing, i.e. permitting non-standard base-pairing at the 3rd anti-codon position.
Source: RNAcentral
GGGAGUUUGGUCUAGUGGUAUGAUUCUCGCUUCGGGUGCGAGAGGCCGCGAGUUCGAUACUUGCAACUCCCC